RNAcentral lists this ribosomal RNA (387 nucleotides) under uncultured bacterium. RNAcentral describes it as "bacterial SSU rRNA". It matches the Rfam family "Bacterial small subunit ribosomal RNA", at positions 28 to 417 of the family's 1533-position model. The record is from RNAcentral.
GACGAACGCUGGCGGCGUGCUUAACACAUGCAAGUCGAGCGGUAAGGCCCUUUCGGGGGUACACGAGCGGCGAACGGGUGAGUAACACGUGGGUGACCUGCCCUCAGCUCUGGGAUAAGCCCGGGAAACUGGGUCUAAUACCGGAUAUGACUCCAUGACGCAUGUUGUGGGGUGGAAAGCCUUGUGCGGCUGAGGAUGGGCCCGCGGCCUAUCAGCUUGUUGGUGGGGUGAUGGCCACCAAGGCGACGACGGGUAGCCGGCCUGAGAGGGCGACCGGCCACACUGGGACUGAGAUACGGCCCAGACUCCUACGGGAGGCAGCAGUGGGGAAUAUUGCACAAUGGGCGCAAGCCUGAUGCAGCGACGCCGCGUGAGGGAUGACGGCCU